RNAcentral lists this long non-coding RNA (203 nucleotides) under Solanum pimpinellifolium. Its description in RNAcentral is "long non-coding RNA (SPIM_LNC000037)". Lineage: Eukaryota; Viridiplantae; Streptophyta; Magnoliopsida; Solanales; Solanaceae. The record is from RNAcentral.
UAACCUAAAUAAUAAGAACUUCCCCCUUGACAGUGGUAUAUGUUGUAUAUGUAAAUCCUAGAUGUGAAAAUAUAUGGAAUUCCUCUAUGAAAGGUAAAAAAAAUGCAAAGAAAAGAAUAGGCUAGGCAUAAAUCGAUAUGCUGAAAUUUAAAUAAAAAAUAAAUAAGAAGAGGAGCCCAUUAGAUACAAAUAAUGAAUCAUAA